AUUCCAAGGCGGCCAGGAAUUUGUCCCAGGUGGGUUCGGUAAUUUUGCGCCUGGUGUCCUCAUUGGCGCAGAUGAAUCUUUCGUGGGGGUAGGUUGUACACGUCACUUUUGCUGCCACAGCCGCGAAGGGUUUGACCUCCUUGUUGGAUUGUAGGGCAAUGUCCUCCCCCAGGGCACUGAGGUCAUUCAGUAGCCCCCUAACAUCAAAAAUACUUAUAAUAGAGUAUGAUUUGCCAUAGAUGACUAAUAUACAAUUUAUUUCCAUGUUUCAGACUAUCAUUGCGAGCAAUGCAAAAAAGUUUUUGCAGUUCCUUUUACCAUACAACGUCACUUAAAAGAUACCAAGAACCAUGUUCCAUGUCAAGAGCCUAUCCAUGACCAUCAAUUGCUCCGAGAAGAUUUCGAUGACAUUAACUCUGCUAAGGCUUGGGUUCACAGCAAGGAACUUGACAAAACAUUUUGCAUUUCAAUGUCCAAGCCCAAUUAUGUGAUGUGCCGUUGUCGGCUUCGUCGUUCACAGGCAUCAACCCAAAACUGCCAAAAUCCUAAAUCGCCCAAGAGGAGAAAGACGAUCCCCAAGCCAAUCUACGCCUGUAAUGCGCAAUUUUCUAUUGUCAUGCAACGAACUUGUGUUUGUCAAUCAAGUGGUGGGAGAUCUGAGUGUAAUAACUCACGCCAAAAGUGCCAAUUGCGUGGGUGUACAACUCAUUCUCAUGAGUUCCAGAUCCGUCAAUGCAGAGUAUUGAAAGUUUCCAAAGACAUGUUGAUAACUCUUCUCAAAACUGGCGUUCCUAAGGCAAUCAUCCUGGAGAAGUAUUGCUCUCCCACCGUGUAUGAAAACAUUGAUUAUAAGCUUAUCACGAUACAAGACCUAAGGAAUUUAGAACGUCUUUACGUCGAUCUGGAGAUCGAUAAGAAAUUGUCAGACUUCGAAAAUAUCUGCAAACUGAUGGAGCAGGUAGAUUUUCGCGCAUUUUCCUUUGAAGGACAUGCACACCACCAGGUUCCAAUAACUAUUGAAAACAAGAGGGUGAAAGCGGGGGCACAAGCAUCAUUGUUUAUGCAACGGACUCUAUGCUUGAGCGGUUUCAUCAGAACCCAUGCACUCUUUAUAUUGACGGAACACACGGGACGAACCGAUCGAAGUUCAUUUUAAUCACAUUAAUGGUGAAAGAUGUAAGAGGAGAAGGUGUCCCGAUAUUUCAAGUCAUUCCUGAAUCAGAAUCUACCAACAUCAUUAAAACUGCCUUUAGUGUUUUAAAUCAGGCGGCGCCAGGGGCGGUCAAGAAGGUUCAAGUUUUGAUGUCCAAUUUGGCCGGGGCUUUUGCCAAGGCAUGGCAAGAGACGUUCCCCAAUUACGUUGUCAAACUCGUAAAAUGUGCCUGGCAUGUAGAAAACGCCUGGAAAAAGCAUCUAUUGCCCCAUGAUUCAGAGUUCUUUCAAUGCCUUCGACGUUUGCGCCCCAUUCCAGAGGAAAACGAUUUCUGGAUUUUUUACUACAAAUUACGACAUGAUUAGGAUACUUAAACGAAUGGGUGGACCUAUUUUGAAGAGAAUUAUGGUCCAAACGGAAAAAUUUCAAAACCCAAAGAGUGGGCACGUUGCUUCACUGUUGGUUCUACAGACCAUAACUUGAAUAUCAAACGGUUAGUGUUCCACUGAAAAACUUCAAUUGAAUGAACCUUCAAAAACCUUGUUGUUAUAAUUGUGGCACCUUUAAUCUUGAAAUAUUCAUCCAUCACAGAUACCAUCGAACCAUUAAAGACUUCGGGCUCAAAAGGAGCAAGAGGAUGGACGAAUUGUGUUUCGACUUAAUCAGAGUCGACCAAUGGUAUUGCCGUAAGCAGGCUUAUAUUCGUCAUGGAAUCAGAGGAGCGCACAAACCAUCACGAAUGCAAUUUACGUAAGAGUCUCAACACCCCAAAAAUCUGAAUGAGUAUGAAAUAUCUACCAGUGAAGAAGGUUUUAUUAUCACGUCACAAACCGCAGAAUACUUCUUGCAAAGAAACCAAGUUGGGUGUUCUGAGGCAAACUGUUUGGUGCGUUGUUCCCAAUGUCCCACAAAUAGCUCUUGUGGCCAUUAUUACGUCUGCAAUUGCAUGUCGUAUUCGUUGCACAACUUGUGCAAGCAUUGCCACCUAAUCAGUAUGUCAGAUUUGCCCCCAAUAACAACCCCAAGAAAUGUACUAGCUUGUGGUAGGGCAAACGACCCUGAAAACUGUGAAGAAGGACAGGGAACAGAUGAAGUUGGACAUAGAGCCAACGAUACCGGACAUGGAGCCGAUGAAAUCGGACAUGGAGCCGACGAUACCGGACAUGGAGCCGACGAUACCGGACAUGGAGCCGACGAUGCUAGAGAAGCACAUGAAAAUGCCGGAAUACGAGCCGACAAAAUCGGACAUGGAGCCGACGAUACCGGACUAAGAGCCGAUGAAAAUCAGACAUGGAGCCGACGAUGUCGUUUGUGAGGAAAUUGCUACAGAGGUAUGUUUUCUUGAUAUUAUUUUGAUUUUUAUAAAUAGUCACUAUUUUAUGAAAUACAUUUUCAGGAUCUAGAAGCCAGGCGACUGAAGGCCAUUUCGAUUGCUAGGAAUUUCAUUACACUUCUGGAAAUGGAUCGUCCUUUGAAUGAGAAGAGUCAUGUGAUUCAAGAAUUAGAGGAAGUGAACAAAACAGUGUCCAAUCUUACGCAAGGCAACGUAUUUCCGAAAGCAGAUCAUGGAAGAAAGAGGGAACGUAUUCCUUCAAUUUUUACCCCGCCUAAAUUCAAACAGAAGCGGAAUGCUUUGAAAAGAAAUGCCUAUUCAAGCCCAGCAAGUGAGCUGCUUCAAGAAUGUGAAAACUCUCCGUUGGACAAUCCUUGCUGGAUGUUCUUGCUCACUAUGAACUUCCAAUCAGUUUUCAGUAAGCUUCAUGAAUGCUCCUCCUUCAUUGAAAUUGGAAGCUUUGUGAGAAGUUUGAUUUGGCAAAGAGCAUUUGGAAUGUGUGAAAAAGGUGGCAACUUGAGCAGUAUCAAGCGAAAUCUAAAAGGUUACAUACAAUGCGACCUAUGUGAAAAAUGGUUUCAUGCCGAUUGCGUAGGGGUUGUUGACGUCCGCAACAAUAAAAUAGAAGAAUGCUCUUGGAAAUGUCCCGACCAUGAAAAUUCCACGUAAUGAUCGAUCCCUUGUUCGUUUUUGUAUCCCUUCAAGAAAAUAUAAAAUACUUAAGUUA
Tigriopus californicus is the source of this 3213-nucleotide long non-coding RNA. RefSeq lists it as uncharacterized. The transcript is spliced from 3 exons. NCBI's taxonomy places the organism in Eukaryota, Metazoa, Arthropoda, Copepoda, Harpacticoida, Harpacticidae. The record is from RefSeq and is a predicted model, not a curated record.